Non-coding RNA from Manis javanica (Malayan pangolin), 2226 nucleotides. The record is from RefSeq and is a predicted model, not a curated record. NCBI's taxonomy places the organism in Eukaryota, Metazoa, Chordata, Mammalia, Pholidota, Manidae.
GCUCUGUAAGGGUGGGGGCAGGUGGGGCAGGUGCGCCUGGCGCGUUAAGUGUGGCUGGGAGAGCUACUCUUUGUGUCCGGGCUGGCUUCUGGCUCCAGGCUCGAGUCCUAGCUACAGACCGCCCUUUCCGUGGGUAUCUCGCAGCUGGUUAGGUGCUGCUCUGGUACGGAGAUAGGCAUUUCUUUCUUUCUUUUUUAACCUUUAUUAUCUUUUGGAACAAAAGGCAUCGAUCUGCAUUGUUUUGGGAUCUCCCUGAUGUUAUUGCAGCCGGGAGAAUUGGAGGCUCCCUGGGACUUGGGGGGCGCCUUCGAGGUCCCACAGUGUCUCCCGAUUUUAACCAGGGAAUUACCAGAUGGAAGUUUAAUUUUUCCGCUCCUGGAGGUUAGAUUACUGAAAGUGAAGAUUCAUUCUGAAGUCUGCACUUGUCUUGCUGAAUUGCACUUGUGAAUGGUUAAGAUGUUACUGGUGGAGAUGCCGUUUUUACCAGGAUCGUGUCUUGAAGGUGACGAAGGACGAAGCCAGCAGAUGAGUAUGGAGUAACCAGCAAAGUUUAAUGAAAGAGUGAAAAAAGAAAGGAAAGCUCCCGCUUAUCGGGAGGGGGUCUAAGGGAGGACACCGUUAGGGCUACAGUGUCUAGGGUUUAUAAGCACGAAAAACGGAGUAAACCACACAAGUGGCUGGGAGUUGUUGCUAUGGCCGAGCUAGGAUCAAAGGGAAAAAAAACCUCCCUUUUUACUCAGGCUGAAUUUUCCCAGAUGCCCAGGAAGAGGCUUCUUGUCUCAUGAGAAGCCUUGACCGUGACUUUACCUUACCAGGGCCUUGGAGUACAUCUGCCUGUGUCUGACUAGCAACUGAAAACUGUAAUGCUGCUUUGUUGCUUCCUUUUCCCAGAUUUUUACCAAUACUGAUAUUAUUUUGCCAAUUUACAUAUGAAAAAGCCUCAUUGUUUUAUAUUAUCCUCAUCUGACUUUUAGUAUUGGUUAGUUUUUCUUAUGUGUGUACUGGUCAGUUAUAUUUCUUUUGCAGUUAAUUGCCCGUGUAUGCCUUAUUUUUAAUAAAUGGGUGGGCUUAAAAUACUUUACUUGUAAGACAUCUUUUUAGUAAUAAGUAUAUUAACUCCUACUUAAUGUUGCAGUUAUUUCCCGUUUGUUUUCUUCUGACAAAAAUAAACAUUUUUAAGUAUGAUGUACUUAAAUUCAUUAAUCAUUUCCUUUAUUUUUUUCUGUCUUUGGAGCAUUGAUUGGCAAGGCUUUCUCCAGGAUAAUUUGUAAAUGUAUUAUAUAAUCUUGUAAUAUUUUUUGUUUUAAAACCUGAUUGUGAAAUAUACAUGUAACAUCAUCCUCUUUCUCUUACUAUGAAUACCUUGUAUAAAAGGUAAAAAGCAUAAAACAAUGGUCAUAAUCUGACCACCCAGUUUAAGAAAUAAAACUUUGCCAGUGUAGUUGAAAACCAUUUGUGUACUUUUGCUGAUGCUAAGAAUCCAGAAUCUUUGUAGUAUUAACCCCUACCCUGAAAGUAUUAUCUGAUGAGAGAAAAAUGAAGAAAAGUACAGGUUAGUUCUGGAAUAGGAUUAUGACUUGGAUAAUAUUGAGUAAUAAAAAUGUGUUUGUACGACAUAAUAAAUUUCUAUUAGUGUUGGUGGACUACAUGACAAAACUUCUUAAUACCUCUGAACACACCUUAAUUUUAAAUGUCUAUUCUGAACAUUUAUUUUCUGACUCAGAAUAACCUGGAAGAAAAUUUUAAUUCAUUAUGGAGAAGAUUGUUUUGGUGGCAUUCAUGAUGAAAUGGAAGAACACAGAAAAUUUUCAAUAUUUGAGGAAAAAAAUAUUUGAUGUGAAUGACCUUAGAAGAAGUCAUUAUGAAUUUUGGCUAACUGUAUUACUUUAUAAAUGCUAUAGGAUGUGGUGAUGUUUCUCAAGUGUACUUUUGUGUAGAGGGUAAGUAACUAAAUAAAGUAAAAUGAGGAAGUAUUUAUUUAAGUACUGGAUGUUUGAUUUUCCCUCUCAGAAAAUUUUGGAAUAGUUAAGAUUAACAUCAUACUUCUUCAGUGUUUUCUUGGUUGGGGUAGAGAGUGGUGGUAACUAAUGUUCUGAUGUAUAAUAGUUCAUCUGUGAUAAGAGAUUGUAACAGUUGUGAAUAGGUCAGACAAUUUUAAAUUUUGACCUCAGAAGUAUUAUUUUACAUAAAAUGUAUUUUGACAAAAUAAAACUAUUUUUAAUGUUA